Molecule: long non-coding RNA, 761 nt
Filed under: Homo sapiens (human)
Lineage: Eukaryota; Metazoa; Chordata; Mammalia; Primates; Hominidae
Description: non-protein coding lnc-ADGRF1-2:1
Source: RNAcentral
UCUGUUUUGUUUGCCUUUUUUUCAGCCAAUCUAACAAUAACCCCGGACCCAAUUUCUGUUUCUGAGGGACAAAACUUUUCUAUAAAAUGCAUCAGUGAUGUGAGUAACUAUGAUGAGGUUUAUUGGAACACUUCUGCUGGAAUUAAAAUAUACCAAAGAUUUUAUACCACGAGGAGGUAUCUUGAUGGAGCAGAAUCAGUACUGACAGUCAAGACCUCCCAUGAAUCUUUGUUACCUUCUAUUUUGCUAUGUGGCUAGUGGUUCAUUGGUUUAUGGUACAAUCUUGGGAGUUUGCAAUGGUGGAGCCUUUUUUUUUAAUUGGGAGAAGUUGAAGAAAGUAUUGAGAUACCUUCUAAUGAAUAUGGCAGACUAGAUAUUCUGACAAUCUUUUCCUCCAUGCUAUAAAGUUGCAUGCCACAAAACUGCCAUGAAAAUCCCUUUAAAUGCAUAAUUGAGCAUGUAAGAAAGUAUGAGAAACAACCAAGUGCCAAAAAAGUAGAGGAAAAUAAAAUAGAAAUGAUGCUUUAACUAAUGCUGGAGCUUUCCUAUGGGCUUUUGCCAAUAUCAGAAACCCAGAACCUUGGGUUUUAAGGCUCCAGAGGGCAUAAAAGUAAAGACUGUGCUCCCUAAACACACAAUGGGUCACUCACACCCCAUUGACACAAUGUUAAGACCUUCAAAAAGUGGCACAUUCAGUAAGAGACUAAGCUAGGAAAACAAAAUUCAUCUGCCAGAGUUGAGACCUUGGCCUCAUCUCUGGG